Molecule: long non-coding RNA, 339 nt
Filed under: Trifolium pratense (red clover)
Lineage: Eukaryota; Viridiplantae; Streptophyta; Magnoliopsida; Fabales; Fabaceae
Description: long non-coding RNA (TPRA_LNC014351)
Source: RNAcentral
AAUGUCAUACUUAAUGUUGGAACAUCUUACGAAACAUAAUAAAAUCAACAAGUAAAUAAACUGCACAUGAAAUUGUUAACCCAGUUCAGCCAACCUGCCUUCUCUGGGGGAUACCAAUCCAGGAAGGAAAUCCACUAAUAGCUCUAGUCACUAAGACCUCCAGCAAACCCUUUGAAUUUACGUCUUACACUAAGACCUCCAGCAAACCCUCGGUUUACGUCUUACACUAAGACCUCCAGCAAAUCCUAGGUUUACGCCUUAUGACCUCGACACUACUCAUGCAACUUCUGCCUAGGAACUCCUAGACAUGAGAUCCUAUCUCACUUCCACACAACCAAC